CGGGGUGUAGUUCAGUGGCAGAACACAUGCUUGGUAGGUGUGAGGCCCUGUGUUCAAUCCCCAGCACUGCAA
This 72-nucleotide transfer RNA is filed under the name Fukomys damarensis (Damara mole-rat). It matches the Rfam family "tRNA". From Rfam's summary of the family: Transfer RNA (tRNA) molecules are approximately 80 nucleotides in length. Their secondary structure includes four short double-helical elements and three loops (D, anti-codon, and T loops). Further hydrogen bonds mediate the characteristic L-shaped molecular structure. tRNAs have two regions of fundamental functional importance: the anti-codon, which is responsible for specific mRNA codon recognition, and the 3' end, to which the tRNAs corresponding amino acid is attached (by aminoacyl-tRNA synthetases). tRNAs cope with the degeneracy of the genetic code in two manners: having more than one tRNA (with a specific anti-codon) for a particular amino acid; and 'wobble' base-pairing, i.e. permitting non-standard base-pairing at the 3rd anti-codon position. Lineage: Eukaryota; Metazoa; Chordata; Mammalia; Rodentia; Bathyergidae. The record is from Rfam by way of RNAcentral.